Molecule: non-coding RNA, 1682 nt
Organism: Cyanistes caeruleus (blue tit)
Lineage: Eukaryota; Metazoa; Chordata; Aves; Passeriformes; Paridae
Source: RefSeq, a predicted model, not a curated record
UUGGCACGUGCAGAGGGGUGAAGCUGGAGUUGUGCAGCAGAAUCGCAGCUGCAGGUUCCUCAAGGGGUGCUGUGGGGCAUUUGUUGCUGACCAGGCACAAAGCUCUGAGAAAUGGCGUUAAUGUUUAUCUGCUGCUAUUCGUGGACUGAAGGUUCAGGGUUGGCCUACUGAGAUGUCUUUUGUCACAGAUUAUUCUGUGUGAGGGAAAAAGCUCAGUUCUGGUCAUAGAAGUUAGCGUUAUGGGAGAUUAAUUAGUGCAAUAAUUCGGGAGGCCAUUUAUGUGAGUCUGAGUCUUGCUCAAAUUCUUUGUUCCUUUGCAUAAAGAGCGUACUCUUAGUAGGACAGUGUUGCUUCAGCCAUUGUCUGCCUCUGAAAGCCUUGGUUUGAAGACAUCUUGAUGUUUUAAACUAAAUUCUCAUUAGAAUGUCUCUGUUUUACAGACAUUUUGGAAUGGCCUCACCCAAAAUGUUCUCAGAGCAGCAUCCAGCAGGAAAUACGCGGAAGCCUUGAGAAUUGAUGUUCCGUGCUGCUCCCCCACCAGCAGUGCCCAUAAAACAUGGAUUGCUAAGAUUUGUUUGACUAAAACCGACCAAACAAAAAGUAAAACAAAAACCAAAUUAAAACCCUGAUGGAGCAAAUUGUUUUACAGUGCCAUGAAAUGGGUGAUGCCUAGGUCCAUUCCCCUGCAGAUAAAGUUCAUUUCAAACAUGCAUUUGAAUCACUCCUUUUCCCUGUUGCAGGAUUGUGGUGGUGCAUAUUUCUGGGAGUUACUUUGUUUCUCUGUGACGUGUUUUUCCCUUCCUCUCCCAGUCCCUGAAACUUUAUCCCAUUGGUUGGUGUUGUAUGUCCCCCCGCCCCUCUCCCGAGGUUUGAAGGAGUCCGGGAAGGAGAAACCCGGUCUCUUCUCCCCUGGAAGCUAGCCAGAGUAAACAUCCUCUGAUACCCCGGAGGGAGAAGCAGCACUUUUUGGUCUUUUCUUGGUCUCGAAGGAUCUCCCUGAUGCCUCCAUUCGACAGAGCUAGCGUGGAUUACUUCGGGGGGCUAAGGGAAGUUCGCUUCAGGUGGCGACCAACGUAGGGGCUUUGAAUCCCCCCGGGACGGCUGGAAAACACCCCACGGGUGUUUUAACAAGCCUAGGUACCGUCACUUACCCUGCAGUCUUUACUGACGGGGGUCGAGUUGGUAGCUCCGUGAGUACAUGAGUCAACUCGGACUGAGAACCUCUUUUUUUGUUUUCUGUUUUCUUCGAACACCGCGCAUCCUUCAGGAAACAGGUACUGGGUGGGGCGCGGGGGGUGCGGGAGAUCCGGCGGUUGUUGUCGGGUUUUGCGAGUCACAGUGCUGGUAGUGCCGGUGCCAGAGCCUCUCCCCGGUAUCUGGACCGAGGGAGCCCACGUGGCUGCACACGUGGUGUGUGUGGGGGCGGUGCCGGCGGCGCGUCCUGGGCUCCGCGGUGGUUUUUAAACCCUGACCGCAGUUUGGAUCUUUUCUGCUUUUCUCGGUGGUAAAAAAAAAAAAAGGUUAGACCAGUCUGUGUAUCAAAGCCUUAAGAUUGGCCAUAGGUUCCUUUUUGUCUACACAGGAAAGGAAUAAAUAUUCCCAUAUUAAGAAUAUUUUAAAGGCUGGAAAUAUCAAUUUCUCAAAAAAUAAGCUGAGGAAAUUAGUAAAAUGGUUUUUUUGCA